UCACAAACCCCUUUCACUGUGUGCCCAGCCCUGGCCAACAAGGGCUUAUUCAGCACCGGCCUGUGUCCCGUUGCUGGGGAGGGCAGGGCCGGAGCGGGAAGAACAUUUGUGUAACGUGGAAGGCAUGCUUCUCUCAAAGGGUGGGAGCAGGCGAUUCCCAGAGAAGGACACGCAGGGAGGCCGUCCGUCGGUGACCAGACGCCUGACCUCAUACACCGGCAAUGAUGCACAUGUCAGACCCAGCUUGUAGCCGCUCAGCCCACCCGACAGACAGCACCAGUGCCCAGUGGCAGCCAGCCCCAUGCAGAUGAAAGAAAAAGGCACAGCCCAGGGCGGAUGCUUCUGAGGUGCAGGUGCCUGUCUGUCAUCGGGCAGGAGCCCGCAGGUGGACAGCAUGGGGCCCGCACACCUGGGGACCGGGCGAGGGGUGUGGAGCGCCGUGGGGCACCCUGCAGCAUCGGGUACAUCUGCGUGUGGACAGCAGGACAUCAAGAGUCGAAAAGCAGGACCCGGGGUGAGGAAAGAGACAUGCCGGUCACUCAAUGAAAUAACCAUGGAAACGCUGGAUUCAGCGGAGGCGUCCACCUGCCCAGCCGCUCCCCCCGGAACUUCCUCCUUCAGUCCGGGGACCGCAUCCAGCUUCUCCGGGGCCCGCGUGAAACAGGCUCGCCCCUCACCCGGCAGCCACCCAGAGUCCCGGCUUAUCCAUCACUGUCAGGCUCCGAGAGCAGCUCUGUUCUGAAUGCCCGGCCGCUUCUGCAACACACAGGAGGGAACAGGGGUCCACGUGAGACCGGCCACUGGCAGAGGCCUGGGUCAGGCUGAAAGGUGCCUUGCGAGAUGGGCACUCGCCAGCCUGCUCCAGCCAGAGCCCAGUUCCUUCUGAGAAUCACACGGCCAGACAGAGGCUUGCUGAGAAGUGGGUGUCCUCCUCUCUGUCCAGCCCCAGCUGCACGGAAGCGAAGCCGGCCCCAGCGUGACUGAGUCCAGAGCCCAGCCCUGAGCACUCACCAAGGGCCAGGACGAGUCAGUGUGUGGGGCAGGUGCCGCCCCCACGACCUCAUUCCCAAGCUCCCUCUGUGUCCCCGCAGCCCGUGCUGGCCAGGGAGGCAGGAGGGCAUGGCAGGUGCUCCCAGAGCUCGCUUCUCUGCGCGUUCCCGCCGCCCUCCCUCCCUGGUCCUGCGGGCUGCCGGCCUCAGGAUCCAGGUCACCUUAGGUGGCAAAGUUGGAGCCGUGCCCCACCUGCCUUCACUGGCUCAUGUUGACUCCUUCAUCUACGAGACAGUCUGAGCUUGAGGCUUGGAAACUCUCCUCUGCCGGACCUAGCUCUGGGCCAUGGAUGCACAGAGCCCUGAGCUCAGAGACCAGGAGAGGCUGGCACCAUGCUCCACCCAGCAGGUGGCUCCAGGUCAUCUGGAGUGUCCCAAAGCUGCAAGGCUGAGGGAGGCUCCCCCUUCCUGGAGGGGCCCAGGCAGCCCUUGGGAUGGAGCCAGGGACGGUCCCUGACCCCAGGAGCUCCCUCUCCUCCCACGCCUUCCACAGACCCAUCUCCCUCAGGACUGCCUUAACUUGGGGUCACCUAGAAAUAGGUUUAUGGGGAGGCCAUCCCAGGGAACUUUCGCAGGAAUGAGGGCUGAGAUGGGGAAGGGCUGUUGUCACCACCAUGGGGGAUUGCUCCAGUGAGAGGGCCAGCACGGGACCCUCAGAGUCUUCCCACCCAAGGGUCAUGAGAUCCGGGUCAGAGGUCACAGGCUGCUCCUAGGGCCUCUAGAUCUCUGGAGAGCCCUUGGCUGCAGUUUGCCGAUGCCAAUGGCUGGAGGUCAGCUGGCACUCCCACCACGAUGGCCAGCGGACAACAACAGUGUGGGCACAGUGAUGGGCACCCCCCCGUGUCCACUCGGCCGGGCUGCAGUGCCCAGCGGCACGGUCAAGCCCCAUCCAGAUGCCACUGUGGCUGUGCUGCAGGUGUGAUGGACACGCACAAUUGGCUAAUUGCAAGUGCUGCAGAUCACGAGAUGUGGCUGGGCCUCAGCUGCAGCUGAAGAUGAACGCCGAGGCUUCCUGGAGAAGGAUUUCUGCCCCAAGACUGCAACAUAAAAUCCUGCCCGGGCUCCCAGCCUGCUCCCCUGCGGGUCUGCCCUGCAGAUUUCAGAUUCAUCAGCCUGGACCAUCACAUGGGCCAGCGCAUUAAAUCAAUCUCCCUGUGUCUGUGUCUCUGUCUCUCUCCCUCCAAAGGGCGCUGACUGAUACGGGACCCUCUGUGUCUCUGCCUCAGGGCCAGGCUCCAGCCCCCGAGAGCCCCUGGUGGCUCAGCCUCUUCCCCACAGCCCUGCCCUCCACGAGGACGCUUUCGGCCCUUGGUGCUCUCUGUGUUACGGAUUUAUAGGGCUGUGCCCUGGGCCUGGACCUAAGGGGGUCGGGAGCAAUGUCUGGACUUCCUGCCACCCUCAAGGUACGCAGGUAUGUGUGUGCUCAGGAUGAUUUAUGUAGAGGAAACUGGGGGGAAACUCCUUGCAAAUAAACCUCUGAGAUCCUACAGACCUCAGGGGGAUGG
Molecule: long non-coding RNA, 2554 nt
Filed under: Homo sapiens (human)
Lineage: Eukaryota; Metazoa; Chordata; Mammalia; Primates; Hominidae
Description: HSALNT0117582
Source: RNAcentral